RNAcentral lists this long non-coding RNA (4717 nucleotides) under Podarcis lilfordi (Lilford's wall lizard). The record is from RNAcentral. Lineage: Eukaryota; Metazoa; Chordata; Lepidosauria; Squamata; Lacertidae.
CUAUCCAUGUACUUAUAACAAGCCACAUCUGAACAUUAAACUGUAGGCCAGUGCAUUCUUGACAGCCCACCAGACAGUACUAGCUCUGAAUCACAGACAUUCCGGUUUUCAAUCUUACCACUGAUUACAUGAUAGCAAAGUUACACCUUGGUGAUGGGAGAAUUCCCACCACAAAAGUCAAGUUAGUGCUAUAAACAGCAUUUAAACAAUGUGUUGCUGUUUUUUACUUAAUUUUUUUCCAGAGAAAUAAAAAAUACAGCUCUAAGAACAUAAGAAGAGCCAAGCUGAUCAGGUAAGUGGCCCACCUUGUCCAGCAUCCUGUUUGCAUAGUGACCAACCAGAUGUGCAUGACAUUCUACACCUGUCACUGCACAGUAAUUUGGUGCUUGGCAGGGAAUGGAGAAGAAAUUGGUUUGGUCCACUUUUCACAGUGGUCUAACCCAUUCCAAAGUUCUUGAACUUGCUUGAUAUGAAGUCUUUUAGCUUAGCGUUUUCUUUUCACAUGCCUGUAGUUAGGUUGGCUGAGAUUAUUCUUAGUCAAGGUAGAUGAACCGGGCAUGCCCAAUUAAAUGCCGGACAUCCCUCCCAAAUGGCAGGCCCCCAAUGCCAUAUCACAAUCUCACCUGGAACCCCCGUCUGUUUCAAUAUGCAUUGUAUGAGCUGUUGUUCAAGGAACUGUGGCACCAUCAUAUGCAUAUUUACUUGGAAGUAACUCCCACUCUGUGAGGCUUACUUCUUCCCUGGUAAGUGCAUUUAGUAUUGCAGUCUUAGCUGCAAAGUUCUUUGGCUCAUAGCAAUCGCCUGCUUAAACUUUAAAUACAAAUAAUUAUGGGUGUACUGUGUGUACAUCUCUGGAUUGUGCUCACAAACUGCAAGUCAAUCCAAAUAAAAGGUUGUUAAUGGCAUGACUGCUUGCUUGCCUUGCUUUUAUGGAAGGGAUAUCCCUUUAUUUUUGGAAAGGCAGCAGAAAACCUGUUUACUGCACUGUACAUAACUUAAAGGAGUUCCUAAGAGUCUGACAGGUGUCACGUAUCAGGGAGUCCUCCUUGUUGCUAUAAAUCUGUUACUCACAAAUGAGUCACCCAACUAAUAAUAUAUUCUCUUCUUAUACAUUUGAUACAUACACAUGUAUAGAACAAAAAAAAUACAUAUUGAUCACCAGUAUCUUCAUUUUAUAUAUAUUUAAAGGUCAAUAUAAUUCUAUUAAUAUUGUUUACUUAUUUAUGUAAUAUAUAUCUCAUGCCUUCAACAUAAACCUUUGUGUCAUAUAUAUCACAUGCCUUCAGCAUAAAUUCCCACGGGACCUAACCAUACAAAGCCAUAUAAAACAGAAUGCAAACAGAAUAUAUAAAAUUAAAGCAACAACAACAGCUCAUUAAAAUUGCUAUUUUGGUUAUUGCAUAAUUCUAUUACAAGUUGGAAAACAUUGUUUUUUAUCUUAAUUGCAAAUACCUAGAGCAGAGCAAACAUAAUAGCAAUGAGGAAAUGAUAAAUAUUGCAUUAUUUCUGAAACUGUACCACAGCCCAUGUGAGUCCUUAUUUCAAUAUAUUGGCUGGAAGAUUCCCCUGUUCCCCCAGCUGUCACAUUAUUUAAAUACAAGGUACCCUGGAGAAUGAAAAACCCAGACUUACAAAGGCAGUGACAGGAGUUUAUUCAGAUUUUUUUUUCCUCACUACUGCAAAGUUUAUCACUGCUUUUUAGUGACUGACAGCUUUACACCCUUAUCUUCACCAAUAUUUCUCUUCAUUGGGUACCGAACAAGGAAAAGAUAAGUAUCAAUCCCCUCUCUCCCCCCACAAGCAAACCCACAAAACAGAGUUAACAUGUUAAAAAGAGAACUGUUACCUACCAGCUCAACUCUUCCAAAACCUCCAACUCCAAGUGUGUCAAUGAUGUUGAAGUCAGAUAGUUUCAGGUUGGCAAAGAAGGCAGCUUCGGCUUCAUAUCUGGAUUUUUUAAUGCGAAAAAAUGGAAAUUUCUUAGAAGUGCAAACGUGAGUGCUACAUAACUCUGUUCCUGGAUGACAUGCGCGCUGAACGGAGUUUACGAGCUUAAUUUCCAUCUUGUCUCUCAAAGUUUCUUUGUUUUCUCGCCCAUUGUCUUAUUGGUCCACGUUCAAAACCUGUUUGCAUUUCCGCCCCCAAAAUAAACCAGAGGUGCCAACAGAAUGUCUGUGUAAUGCAAAUGCUUUGCGCUAUAAUUCAAUUCCAGUUAUCAACUGAAGGCUACAUCUUGACAGUUUCUAUUAAUCUUCUCGUGAAGGUGGGAGGGGUGGGGCUUUUUUUGGAGGAUUUUUAUUUUUUUUGCUUUUCAAUAUUUCUGGAAGAUAAAGUCUUUCAUAUGAGUUUCUCUUGUCCGCAAGCUGGCAGUUUCUAUAAAUGUUUAUUGAAAGUGGCAAGAUCAUUAAGGUCCCCGGAGAGAAACCACAGCCAGGUUUUAUGAAAUCAGAUCCAAUAAGCUGAGGAACUGGCGUGUGGAUGUCUGAAAGGAAUUAUUUCAGACACCCAUUAACAUUUCUAAAAGAACAUUUCCCCUCCUCCUGCGUUUAGAAACUCAGCCUACAAAUUCAAAAGCUUUGUGGUUCCCAGAUCCAGGAGUUGUCUCUUGAGUCUGUGUACAGAGAGGCUUGUAAUAAGUGUGCACAGGACGAGCUAUGUAAGCCAUGUGAAACUGACACAUGUGCGCAUGCCAAAACUAAGCCUCCCAAGGGUAUACCCAUGCAGAUGCAUCUCCCAAAAUAACUUCUUCUUGGGGAUGACAGUAUUUUUAGAAAGGCUAAGAGGGCAAAUGGGAGAACAGGUUCCACUCACUUACUGAAGUUUCAUCUGGGAAGUACUUGGGUGCCAGAAAAAAAAAAAAAGACCUCACGCAUGUGCUGCCACCUUUGUUCUUCAGAAACUGUAUAUGGUUCUAACAUUUACCAUGUACAGAACAGAUGGUUUCUCAAGCAUUCCAAAACAGACUAUGUGUAAGGUCACAUGGGCUAACGAAGUAAAAAUUAGAGGGUACUUAUUUAGCCGUGCCCUUUUAGCUCAUUUAUUCCAGCUGGAUGUAGGUGUCUUCCUGAAACACACUCAAAAGCGCUUCUUCUUUUUUUAAAGUAUACUUCUUUAGGUUUCAAAAACAGGUGACCAUGUAUUAUGGGGGUGAACACAGUUCAGAAGAAACACUUGGGCAUUUAAAACUAGUUACACCUUGGUCAGUGUGUUUAAUUUACUAGCAUGCCUAAUAAAAAUGUGAAUGUUUGGUGUUAAUGGCAUUUUUUAUUAAUUACACAUGCUUAUUUUCUGCUGGUUGUCAUUACUCGGGAGCACACUAAAAUGCACACCUUCAUUUGUGCCGGAGAGUACACCACCAGCAACAAAAAAAAUCACAUGACCAAAAAUAACCACAUUUGACUGCUAACAUGACCAGCAACACACACACACACACACACACACACACACGAUUAGAAAUGUUAAAUGCAUGUGCAAAGCAACCCUAAGACAUUAUGCUUGACUAAGGUUUCAACAUUUUAUUCACAUUGCUAGACUAAAAAAAGAAUGUAAUUCUGAUAGAUCUUCCUGAAUAUUAUUUUUCUCCCAGUUUAAUAUAUGUAUAUAGCAGUGAUUCUGUCAUACCUGUAACUGUUUAGAAUCUAAUCUAUGUGUCUGGAUAGGCUUGUGUAAACAAAAAUGUUUUAAGCAGGUGCAAACAAGAGUUCAGCAAAGGCACCUGCCUGAUGUCAAUAGGCAGGAAGUUCCAAAGUGUAGCUGCCACACAAUAUACAAAUUUCUUACAAGCACAGAUAUUAUUUGACACUUGUAAGCAAGCAGUGCUGGUUCCACAGACUGAAACAAGUUAACCAGUGCCGAUCUUUGAGCAGAGGUGUCACAUGCUGACAGGAACUGCAGUUUCCAGGUAAAGUGUAAGGGAAGCCCCGCAUAUAGUACAGUGGUACCUCAGGUUAAGUACUGAAUUCGUUCCAGAGGUCCAUUCUUAACCUGAAACUGUUCUUAACCUGAAGCACCACUUUAGCUAAUGGGGCCUCCAGCUGCCACUGCGCCGCUGGAGCACGAUUUCUGUUCUCAUUCUGAAGCAAAGUUCUUAACCCGAGGUACUAUUUCUGGGUUAGCGGAGUCUGUAACCUGAAGCGUAUGUAAUCCGAGGUACCACUGUACAUUGCUUAGGCUCUCCUUUAGUUAAAGAACUUUGUUUGGGUGGGUGGCUGAGGUAUGGCCGGCUGUCUUCUGUGCCCCUUGAUCCACUGGUCCAUUCACAAAACAUGGGUUAGCUUUAAGGUAGAGAGUGUUCCCACUCUCUCUACAGCUGUUAUUUUCCUUGUGUCCACUACUCAGUGGGUCCAGACAUAAAGGUGGCAAGCAGCUGCAGCAAAAGUCACCAUCAUCCCUCUCCCUCUGGGCAUGCCAUGUGGCAGUUCAUGCUCUUCAUCCUUUUUCCUGCUGCUACCUGAUGGACCCAGAAGGAGAAGGCUCUGGUUCUUGUGGUAGUCCCUGUUGCUGCUGCUCUCCCUUAGCUGAUAAUCUUAUGAGCACUGAGGAGCAUACACACAGUGAUAAAGAAAAUUCAGCCACAAUGUUGGGAAUUCCAAUCAGGGCUCCUGUCAGCUGUUGCUGUCUGGGACUUGGGCCAUGGCAGCUGCCCAACUAUGUUGUCCCCUAAUGGCCAUAGGUGGGGAGGGGGAUGCUAAAAGUCAGAUGCGGGGAUAAAGAUUAC